GGUGAGUAACGCGUGAAUAACCUGCCUUUCAGUGGGGGACAACAGUUGGAAACGACUGCUAAUACCGCAUGAUACUUUUUGGAGGCAUCUCUGAAAAGUCAAAGCUUUAUGUGCUGAAAGAUGGAUUCGCGUCUGAUUAGCUGGUUGGCGGGGUAACGGCCCACCAAGGCGACGAUCAGUAGCCGGUCUGAGAGGAUGAACGGCCACAUUGGGACUGAGAUACGGCCCAGACUCCUACGGGAGGCAGCAGUGGGGAAUAUUGGGCAAUGGGGGAAACCCUGACCCAGCAACGCCGCGUGAAGGAAGAAGGCUUUCGGGUUGUAAACUUCUUUUACCAGGGACGAAGGACGUGACGGUACCUGGAGAAAAAGCAACGGCUAACUACGUGCCAGCAGCCGCGGUAAUACGUAGGUUGCAAGCGUUGUCCGGAUUUACUGGGUGUAAAGGGCGUGUAGGCGGAGAAGCAAGUUGGGAGUGAAAUCCAUGGGCUCAACCCAUGAACUGCUCUCAAAACUGUUUCCCUUGAGUAUCGGAGAGGCAAGCGGAAUUCCUAGUGUAGCGGUGAAAUGCGUAGAUAUUAGGAGGAACACCAGUGGCGAAGGCGGCUUGCUGGACGACAACUGACGCUGAGGCGCGAAAGCGUGGGGAGCAAACAGGAUUAGAUACCCUGGUAGUCCACGCUGUAAACGAUGAAUACUAGGUGUGGGGGGACUGACCCCCUCCGUGCCGCAGUUAACACAAAA
RNAcentral lists this ribosomal RNA (743 nucleotides) under uncultured Bacillota bacterium. Its description in RNAcentral is "bacterial SSU rRNA". It matches the Rfam family "Bacterial small subunit ribosomal RNA", at positions 105 to 862 of the family's 1533-position model. The record is from RNAcentral. Lineage: Bacteria; Bacillati; Bacillota.